Molecule: ribosomal RNA, 75 nt
Filed under: Alcanivorax sp. HI0011
Lineage: Bacteria; Pseudomonadati; Pseudomonadota; Gammaproteobacteria; Oceanospirillales; Alcanivoracaceae
Description: partial 23S ribosomal RNA
Source: RNAcentral
GUUAUAUAGUCAAGUGAUUAAGCGUACACGGUGGAUGCCUUGGCAGCCAGAGGCGAUGAAGGACGUUGUAGCUUG